AUCUACGGCCAUGCCAUCCUGAACAAGCCCGAUCCCAUCUGAUCUCGGAAGCUAAGCAGAGUCAGGCCUGGUUAGUACUUGGAUAGGAGACCACCUAGGAAGACUAGGUGCUGUAAGUG
Molecule: ribosomal RNA, 119 nt
Filed under: Pteropus alecto (black flying fox)
Lineage: Eukaryota; Metazoa; Chordata; Mammalia; Chiroptera; Pteropodidae
Source: RNAcentral